CCACAAAAAAAGACCGAAUACGAUUCCUAUAUUCGGUCUAGGGAAAUGGCUCUUGGGAGAGAGCCGUGCGCUAAAAGUUGGCAUUGAUGCAGGCGGUUAAGCCUUACAACUUAAAGCGUAGCCGAGGAUGGAUGCUUUACCAGCAA
Molecule: non-coding RNA, 146 nt
Organism: Serratia sp. Leaf50
Lineage: Bacteria; Pseudomonadati; Pseudomonadota; Gammaproteobacteria; Enterobacterales; Yersiniaceae
Source: Rfam